UGAGGAAUCUUGCGCAAUGGGGGAAACCCUGACGCAGCAACGCCGCGUGAGUGAGGAAGGCCUUCGGGUCGUAAAGCUCUGUCAGAUGGGAAGAAAUGGGUGGGGGCUAAUAUCGUCCACCCUUGACGGUACCAUCAGAGGAAGCACCGGCUAACUCCGUGCCAGCAGCCGCGGUAAUACGGGGGGUGCAAGCGUUGUUCGGAAUCAUUGGGCGUAAAGCGCGCGCAGGCGGCUUGGUGAGUCAGAUGUGAAAUCCCUGGGCUUAACCCAGGAAGUGCAUUUGAUACUGCCUCGCUAGAGUGCGGGAGAGGAAAGUGGAAUUCCUGGUGUAGAGGUGAAAUUCGUAGAUAUCAGGAGGAACACCGGUGGCGAAGGCGACUUUCUGGCCCGAUACUGACGCUCAGGCGCGAAAGCGUGGGGAGCAAACAG
Molecule: ribosomal RNA, 429 nt
Filed under: uncultured bacterium
Lineage: Bacteria
Description: bacterial SSU rRNA
Rfam family: Bacterial small subunit ribosomal RNA
Source: RNAcentral